Molecule: microRNA precursor, 89 nt
Organism: Vigna angularis (adzuki bean)
Lineage: Eukaryota; Viridiplantae; Streptophyta; Magnoliopsida; Fabales; Fabaceae
Rfam family: MIR398 microRNA precursor family
Source: Rfam
AGAGGUUCUACAGGGUCGUCCUGAGAACACAUGAAACGUAUUCAGAAUAUUUGACUCAUGUGUUCUCAGGUCGCCCCUGCUGGACUUUU